RNAcentral lists this ribosomal RNA (400 nucleotides) under uncultured bacterium. RNAcentral's name for it is "bacterial SSU rRNA". It matches the Rfam family "Bacterial small subunit ribosomal RNA", at positions 30 to 431 of the family's 1533-position model. The record is from RNAcentral.
AUUGAACGCUGGCGGCAUGCCUUACACAUGCAAGUCGAACGGCAGCACGGGAGCAAUCCUGGUGGCGAGUGGCGAACGGGUGAGUAAUAUAUCGGAACGUGCCCAGUCGUGGGGGAUAACGUAGCGAAAGCUACGCUAAUACCGCAUACGAUCUAUGGAUGAAAGCGGGGGAUCGCAAGACCUCGCGCGAUUGGAGCGGCCGAUAUCAGAUUAGGUAGUUGGUGGGGUAAAAGCCUACCAAGCCUUCGAUCUGUAGCUGGUCUGAGAGGACGACCAGCCACACUGGAACUGAGACACGGUCCAGACUCCUACGGGAGGCAGCAGUGGGGAAUUUUGGACAAUGGGCGCAAGCCUGAUCCAGCCAUGCCGCGUGAGUGAAGAAGGCCUCGGUUGUAAGUAC